RNAcentral lists this ribosomal RNA (123 nucleotides) under Pteropus alecto (black flying fox). Lineage: Eukaryota; Metazoa; Chordata; Mammalia; Chiroptera; Pteropodidae. The record is from RNAcentral.
GUCUACGGCCAUGCCACCCCGAACAAGCCCUACUAUCCCUUCUGAUCUCGAAAGCUAAGCAGGGUCGCGCCCUGGUUAGUACUUGGAUGGGAGACCACCUAGAAAGAGCAGAUGCUGUAGGCA